RNAcentral lists this ribosomal RNA (607 nucleotides) under Corethron hystrix. RNAcentral's name for it is "partial Bacterial large subunit ribosomal RNA". It matches the Rfam family "Bacterial large subunit ribosomal RNA", at positions 1945 to 2551 of the family's 2925-position model. The record is from RNAcentral. Lineage: Eukaryota; Bacillariophyta; Corethrophyceae; Corethrales; Corethraceae.
ACGGUCCUAAGGUAGCGAAAUUCCUUGUCGGGUAAGUUCCGACCUGCACGAAUGGUGUAACCAUGGCCACGCUGUCUCCACCCGAGACUCAGUGAAAUUGAAAUCGCAGUGAAGAUGCUGUGUACCCGCACCUAGACGGAAAGACCCCGUGAACCUUUACUACAGCUUGGCACUGAACAUUGAACCUACAUGUGUAGGAUAGGUGGGAGGCUUCGAAGCACAGUCGCUAGAUUGUGUGGAGCCGUCCUUGAAAUACCACCCUUGUAUGUUUGAUGUUCUAACAUUGGUCCCUUAUCGGGAUUAUGGACAGUGUCUGGUGGGUAGUUUGACUGGGGCGGUCUCCUCCCAAAUAGUAACGGAGGAGCACGAAGGUUAGCUAAUCACGGUCGGACAUCGUGAGGUUAGUGCAAUGGCAUAAGCUAGCUUAACUGCGAGACAGACACGUCGAGCAGGUACGAAAGUAGGUCAUAGUGAUCCGGUGGUUCUGUAUGGAAGGGCCAUCGCUCAACGGAUAAAAGGUACUCCGGGGAUAACAGGCUGAUACCGCCCAAGAGUUCAUAUCGACGGCGGUGUUUGGCACCUCGAUGUCGGCUCAUCACAUCCUGGG